UGUAACACUACUGACCUAACAGUAGGCCAGAAGGAGGAUCAUCUACUUCUGGACCAAUGUUGACCACAGGCUAUGGAAGGCAGGACAACAAUCCACCCACAGAUGUCCACAGUCUAACUCCCAGAGCCUAUAAAUAUGGCACUUCACUUUGGCAAAAGGGACUUCACAGAUGUGAUUAAGAUACAGCAAGCUCCCUGAGGCUCAUAAGGAGACAUUUUGCCAAAAGAUACAUGGAUACCAGCUAAUGUUUGGAAAUGUAACAAAGCAUUUUCACUGAUAUCUCAUCUAAUACACAACAUCACGAAAUUAGGCAGCACAGCUACCAUUGCCUCUAUUCUAGAAGUAAGGGAUAUUAGUUCAUUACAAUUUUUCUCACCAUGAUCUAUGUGUCCUGCCACUCCUAACCAACAGCCUUUCCAGUCAACUUGCCAGUAAUCUGAAGCCUGUAAGUGCAAUGGACCAGCUAACUUGUGUUUUUCAAAGAUUUCAACUGCCAAAAAUAAAUGAGUGCUUAGGAUAGGGCUGGCACAAAGAUUUGUUUUGUUUGCUUUAUUUUUUCAAAAACUGUCACUUUGCUGGCUGCUGCUUUAUUUCUUAUUCUGCUCUAUGUUGAACUACACUUUUAAAAUUUUGGACAAAUCACUAUAACACAGGAGUCUUGUUCAAUUUGAGAAGUUAUGGAGACAGUCAAAUGUAAGAGGGAGGGUUCUCCCAAGAUCUCAAUAAAAUAAGAUUGC
Canis lupus familiaris (dog) is the source of this 737-nucleotide long non-coding RNA. RefSeq lists it as uncharacterized. The record is from RefSeq and is a predicted model, not a curated record. NCBI's taxonomy places the organism in Eukaryota, Metazoa, Chordata, Mammalia, Carnivora, Canidae. The transcript is spliced from 3 exons.